UUGCUCUUCAACGAGGAAUUCCUAGUAAGCGCAAGUCAUCAGCUUGCGUUGAUUACGUCCCUGCCCUUUGUACACACCGCCCGUCGCUACUACCGAUUGAAUGGUUAUAGUGAGCAUAUGGGAUCAGUAGGAUUAAACUGGCAACAGUUUUUCCCUGCAGAGAACUAUGGCAAACUAGGCUAUUUAGAGGAAGUAAAAGUCGUAACAAGGUUUCCGUAGGUGAACCUGCGGAAGGAUCAUUAAAUAAUUUAGAUGGCCUUUGCUAGUUUUCUAGCGAAUGGUUCAUUCUUUUUUACUGUGAACUGUUUUAAUUUUUCAGCGUCUGAGGAAUGUCUUUUAGCCAUAGGGAUAGGCUACUAGAAUGUUAACCGAGCUGAAAGUCAGGCUUAGGCCUGGUAUCCUAUUAAUUAUUUACCAAAAGAAUUCAGUAUUAUAAUUGUAACAUAAGCGUAAAAAACUUAUAAAACAACUUUUAACAACGGAUCUCUUGGUUCUCGCAUCGAUGAAGAACGUAGCAAAGUGCGAUAACUAGUGUGAAUUGCAUAUUCAGUGAAUCAUCGAGUCUUUGAACGCAACUUGCGCUCAAUGGUAUUCCAUUGAGCACGCCUGUUUCAGUAUCAAAAACACCCCACAUUCAUAAUUUUGUUGUGAAUGGAAUUGAGAGUUUCGGCUUUAUUGCUGAAUUCUUUAAAAUUAUUAGGCCUGAACUAUUGUUCUUUCUGCCUGAACAUUUUUUUAAUAUAAAGGAAUGCUCUAGUAAAAAGACUAUCUCUGGGGCCUCCCAAAUAAAUCAUUCUUAAAUUUGAUCUGAAAUCAGGCGGGAUUACCCGCUGAACUUAAGCAUAUCAAUAAGCGGAGGA
Molecule: ribosomal RNA, 860 nt
Filed under: uncultured fungus
Lineage: Eukaryota; Fungi
Description: eukaryotic LSU rRNA
Rfam family: Eukaryotic small subunit ribosomal RNA (bases 1-242)
Source: RNAcentral